AGGAACAAUUGGAGGGCAAGUCUGGUGCCAGCAGCCGCGGUAAUUCCAGCUCCAAUAGCGUAUAUUAAAGUUGUUGCAGUUAAAAAGCUCGUAGUUGAACUUUGGACUUAUAUUACUAGUCAGAUGGAAAUCUAGUACUAGAAAGAAUAUAAGUCUUUCCUUCUGGGUAAAUUAUUAAAAUUUUAAUAAUUGAACCAGGACGAUUACUUUGAAAAAAUUAGAGUGUUCAAAGCAGGCGAGAAGCAUGAAUAUAUUAGCAUGGAAUAAUAGAAUAGGACGUUUGGACCUAUUUUGUUGGUUUCUAGGACCAUCGUAAUGAUUAAUAGGGACGGUCGGGGGCAUCAGUAUUCAAUUGUCAGAGGUGAAAUUCUUAGAUUUAUUGAAGACUAACUACUGCGAAAGCAUUUGCCAAGGACGUUUUCAUUAAUCAAGAACGAAAGUUAGGGGAUCGAAGAUGAUCAGAUACCGUCGUAGUCUUAACCAUAAACUAUGCCAACUAGGGAUCGGGUGGAGUUUAAAUAGAGACGCACUCGGGACCUUAAGAGAAAUCAAAGUAUUUGGGUUCUGGGGGGAGUAUGGUCGCAAGGCUGAAACUUAAAGGAAUUGACGGAAGGGCACCACCAGGAGUGGAGCCUGCGGCUUAAUUUGACUCAACACGGGGAAACUCACCAGGUCCGGACACAAUAAGGAUUGACAGAUUGAGAGCUCUUUCUUGAUUUUGUGGG
Molecule: ribosomal RNA, 725 nt
Filed under: Macrorhabdus ornithogaster
Lineage: Eukaryota; Fungi; Ascomycota; Saccharomycetes; Saccharomycetales
Description: SSU rRNA
Rfam family: Eukaryotic small subunit ribosomal RNA
Source: RNAcentral